This 253-nucleotide ribosomal RNA is filed under the name uncultured bacterium. RNAcentral's name for it is "partial 16S ribosomal RNA". It matches the Rfam family "Bacterial small subunit ribosomal RNA", at positions 524 to 776 of the family's 1533-position model. The record is from RNAcentral.
UACGGAGGGUGCAAGCGUUAUCCGGAUUUACUGGGUUUAAAGGGUGCGUAGGCGGGCCUUUAAGUCAGUGGUGAAAUCUCCCCGCUCAACGGGGAAACUGCCAUUGAUACUAUUGGUCUUGAAUUUAGUUGAGGUGGGCGGAAUGUGUCGUGUAGCGGUGAAAUGCUUAGAUAUGACACAGAACACCGAUUGCGAAGGCAGCAUACUAAGGAGUAACUGACGCUGAGGCACGAAAGUGUGGGGAUCAAACAGG